AGCGGUAGCACAGGGGAGCUUGCUCCCUGGGUGACGAGCGGCGGACGGGUGAGUAAUGUCUGGGAAACUGCCUGAUGGAGGGGGAUAACUACUGGAAACGGUAGCUAAUACCGCAUAACGUCGCAAGACCAAAGAGGGGGACCUUCGGGCCUCUUGCCAUCAGAUGUGCCCAGAUGGGAUUAGCUAGUAGGUGGGGUAAUGGCUCACCUAGGCGACGAUCCCUAGCUGGUCUGAGAGGAUGACCAGCCACACUGGAACUGAGACACGGUCCAGACUCCUACGGGAGGCAGCAGUGGGGAAUAUUGCACAAUGGGCGCAAGCCUGAUGCAGCCAUGCCGCGUGUGUGAAGAAGGCCUUCGGGUUGUAAAGCACUUUCAGCGAGGAGGAAGGUGGUGAACUUAAUACGUUCAUCAAUUGACGUUACUCGCAGAAGAAGCACCGGCUAACUCCGUGCCAGCAGCCGCGGUAAUACGGAGGGUGCAAGCGUUAAUCGGAAUUACUGGGCGUAAAGCGCACGCAGGCGGUUUGUUAAGUCAGAUGUGAAAUCCCCGGGCUCAACCUGGGAACUGCAUUUGAAACUGGCAAGCUAGAGUCUCGUAGAGGGGGGUAGAAUUCCAGGUGUAGCGGUGAAAUGCGUAGAGAUCUGGAGGAAUACCGGUG
This 660-nucleotide ribosomal RNA is filed under the name uncultured bacterium. Its description in RNAcentral is "bacterial SSU rRNA". It matches the Rfam family "Bacterial small subunit ribosomal RNA", at positions 65 to 714 of the family's 1533-position model. The record is from RNAcentral.